RNAcentral lists this long non-coding RNA (214 nucleotides) under Lupinus angustifolius (narrow-leaved blue lupine). Its description in RNAcentral is "long non-coding RNA (LANG_LNC003544)". Lineage: Eukaryota; Viridiplantae; Streptophyta; Magnoliopsida; Fabales; Fabaceae. The record is from RNAcentral.
ACAUGGUCGUGACUCAGGUAGUAAGUAUUAUUUCGUGCCAUUUAGAAUUGCUGCAAGCUACGGUAACAACAGUUGUGUAGUAUGAGCUUGAUAAGUAGUUGAGAAGAAGGCAGUUCGAAGUAGUUGAGCAAACACUUCCAUCAUCUAAUUGCAAUUUAGGUAGACGUCAUUCAGCGACUGCAAUAGAUUUGGAAACACAUUUGUAGGAGCACAC